This 117-nucleotide non-coding RNA is filed under the name Gorilla gorilla gorilla (western lowland gorilla). The record is from Rfam by way of RNAcentral. Lineage: Eukaryota; Metazoa; Chordata; Mammalia; Primates; Hominidae.
GCCGGGCGCAGUGGCUUGCGCCUGUAAUCCCAGCAAUGUGGGAGGCUAAGGCAGGUGGAUCACCUGAGGCCAGGGGUUCGAGACCAGCCUGGCCAAAAUGGUGAAACCCUGUCUCUA